CAGCCAGUAUACACGCUGCCUCGAAAUA
This 28-nucleotide small RNA is filed under the name Bombyx mori (domestic silkworm). RNAcentral's name for it is "ovarian small RNA-13203". The record is from RNAcentral. Lineage: Eukaryota; Metazoa; Arthropoda; Insecta; Lepidoptera; Bombycidae.